AAGAGCGCCAGCCCCCGAGGCCCGGGAGGAGGGCAGCAGAGGCCAAGUGCUGCUGGCAGCAGAGAGGGCGGCGGGCAGCUUGCAGCAGGGCAGUGGCGGUGGGCACUCGGCAAACAACCCAAGAAGGCCACAGAGGACAGCUGGGGAACAGCAAGGUGCUGGGAACGGUCCCCACGGGUUCAGGAAGAGCCGGGCAGGCCCCGCUGCUGCCCAAGGGCCCGAGGCAGAGCCUAGGCCUGCUGGAGGGGCCUCCCCUGGUGGGCUUCGGGCCUCAGGAAGAGGAUCAUGACGAGGAGAAGUGGAAGAGGCCGGCCUGGAAAGGCCAGUCCUGGGGGCUCCCACUGAGGACAUUCUCAGGGAGGAAGAGCCACGGACACGUCGGAGGAGCCUGCGGUUCUGACCUCUCCCGUGGCUUCUCUCUGAUGCUGCCCACAGCUGCAGCCUGAUGCUGUCUGAACAGGUUGGACAAGUGAACAGUGGAGGAGCGGCAUGGAAUCCUCUUUGCUCACCGUGCCGUGGAACCACUGGGGACAAGAGGAGGACAAGUUAGAACAAGUGAAGGUCGUGGUGGCACCACAGCUCUCCGGGAGCCAGGCCUGUGCAGCCCAGCGCGACCGGGGGACAGGGGCCUUCCCGCAGACGUUCAGCCUGCCAGGAGCAGAAGGGGGCCGCAGCCACCCGUUCCUCAUCAGGAUGCUGAGCGCGAAGGUGGCCCCGCUGGGAUAGAGCAGCCCCUGCACAGUCACUCGGGCUGCACAGGAACAUGGGGACAGGAGUCAGUGUCCACAGGGCCCCUGCUGAGGCCGGGCAUAAGGCACAUCCCAGGAGAAAAACUUACCCCAGAACCCAGGGGUCAGAAAGUCAUCUGGAAGCCCAGAUUUGGUUUCCAGGACUAAACAGGACUGACUACCAUAAUGAAAGGCAACCUUCUGGCAGAUUUUGCUGAAGUGACUUCACUUAUUAUCAAAGAUAAAAUGAGGCUCCUGAUCACUCUGAGAUCGUCCUUGAGCAAGAAUAAGCAGUUACACUUGACAACUGGCAAAACCCAAAUGUUCCAGAUUGGAGCAUGCAGACAGCAAAACGUUCAAUUUUAAUUUUCUCUAUUUUAGGAGUGUCUUUCCUUUGCAUUUAAAAACCACAAUUACAAAAAUUUUUAUGAGAAUAUUCCAAAUUUAAUAUGCUAUUAGCAUUUAAUUUUCUAUAACUCAGGAUUGAAAUCCUUUAAUCGAAGUCAGAGAACCUAACGUUUAAUGAGCUCCGGCUUCUCUCAAAGCUGAGUAUUAGCAGAGAUAAAUCGUGUAACUUAGUGCUUUGGGGGAAACACUGCGCAUACCGAAGUGAUGACUUCGAGAUCCUUCAGAUACGUUCGCUCAGUGGUAGACACCUCCUUAGCGAUGAAGUACGCCUUGUCAGUUGGGAAUCUCUGCAAAAUCCAUCCAUGGAAACAAGACACAAUGAGUGGAAGGCUCUGCGAAUGUCCUCAUUAUUAGAAAGUCCUAGUUAAAGAACUUACACGUUACUAACUUAUGAUCGUUGGUUAGCCAGCAUCAAGACUAAAUGAACUCUUAUUUUUGUGUUUAAAGAAACUAGAAAAAAAUAAUGGAUUUCUCCACUGAGAAUAUGGCCUUGGAAUAUUUCCUUCCAUGUAAAGAUUACCAUCAGUCAAAGGGCUCACUCAAAUGCCAGUCAUGUAGUCUUUCAAGGGAACUAGGAUCCUUGGUCCCGGUGCCAUGGCUGGUAGCGUCAGCGCUCAUGAAAUUUCAAAAAAUGGGAGUUAGAGUGUUUGUGGGAUUAGCAAGGAUGAAAGAGACCAGGGUGUCAUCAGGAAGGAAGUCCCUGACAGCCUGCCAUCUUCCCAUUAGAACCACAUCAUUCUACGUCUGGGUAUGUACACAAAGGAACUGAAACAGAGACUUAACAAAUUCAUGCAUACCCGUGUUCAGAGAGGUGUUCGCAACAGCAAGAGGUGGGAGCAGCAUAUCUGCUCAGUGACACACAAAUGCAGAAACUAAAUGUGGUACAUCCAUAUAGGGGAAUAUUACUCAGCCUUAAAGAGGAAGGAAAUUCUGAUCUGCUACGACAUGGAUGAACCUUGAGGACAUUACACUGAGUGGAACAAGUCAAUCACACAAGGACAAAGACCCUCUGAUCACACUCAUAUGAGGUCCCAGGAGUAGCCAAACUCAGAGACAGAAAAUAGAAUUGUGGUUGCUAGGGUCUGAGACAGGGUGGAUUAUUGUUUAAUACGAACCAAGAUUUUGUUGAGGAAAGAGUUUUGAAGAUGGACAUGAUGUUGAGAAUGGAUGAAUGCCACCAAAUGCAAACCAGUACAUUUUAUGCUAUUUCACUUUACUACAAUAAAGACCCGUGCAUGCACUAGCAAGUGCCUGCUGGUACCUUUCUCCGGCCCUCUUCCUCGUCGUCGGUCCUGGGGCACGCCUGGUCAUUCAGCAGCGGGCUGAUCAGGGGAGAGGCCUGCUUGGUGUCAGGGCUCAGGUUGGGAGACAAGGUCACGUUGGUGGGGGCAGCUCCUCCCUGUGAGUUGAUGGACAGCUCUGAAAGGUGAGGGCUACCAGUCAGGGAGCCUGUUUGGGGAUGAGAAGUUUUAAAGAAAAAAAAAAAAAAAGUAAUUCCCUCUGGGACUUGAUUUCCAUUUACAACUUUUCACCUUUUCAAAUCUUUAGAACCUUGGCCACCGCAGGGCAAACAAUGCAUUCAUUAUUUUCUAGUUUUUUCCCCCCUAAAUUGUGGCUGCCUUAAUAGUAUGCAUAAUUCAAUGGUGCCUCAGUUACGUAAUUAAGGAUAAGAUAGAACUCUGCACAAUAACAGUUAAAAUAGCUUAAAAGCUAUUCCCUUAAUCAUAUUUUCAUCUCAUAGCUACUGCUUUGACUUUUAAGAAUAACUCAAGAAAGACAAAAGUAUCUAUAGAACAAUAAGACACGGAAAAAUGAGCAGAAAAUAGAACUAAACUAACAGGCAUCUAAAGGGCUGGUAUACCAAGGACAGACUACGUCUUGUAACAAUGGGCACAGCUAACAGAAAGGUCAAGCGACUAACUCCCCACUCUACAGAGAACAGAGCAAGCUCGUUAUACCUGGUGAUGUCAUUCCAUGUCUGUCACUGUGUGGGACAGAAACACUAGCAUCAUAUCACAUGCAAUAGUGGUCAUUUAAAAAUACAAGCUGAAGGUCAUCACAUUAUCACAGUUCCUCUUUAUGAGUCAAAAGCAACAGGUAGGAAAUCAGUCCUUGAAAAAGGAUACCAUAUUAAAUAAUAAGAAAAAGUACAUAUUACCCAUUGUAAGUCAGCUGAGGGUGAGGGUGUGUACAGGACGCUCUGCCAACGUGAUUUUGCCAGUAUCUCUACCUCCAUCCAUGUGGCUACAUGGAGUGUUUCAAAAUAUAUUUCUAACCUGUUUGUUUUGACCUAACACAGUUAUAAUUCUAGUGCAGUUGGUAUUAGGUAAACAAAGUUACCAUUCUAAGGAAAGACAAGGUCAAUGCUUCCUCCAUUUUUCAGUAUGCAGUUCCAGGUUCACGGCUACGCAGCACAUUGUUAAAGAUCUCCAAGGGAAAAGAGUAAUUUUCCGGGAGUACCCCCAUUUUCCUGACAUCUAUUGUCCCUCUGGAGUCGUUUGUAUAUUAUUUGGAAUUUACAAGACACAGCGGCCUAGGAAGGAGCUGAGGGAGUAGGGGCAGUAAGUUUGAUCCUGGUAGGAAUGAACUCCAGAGGAGCCAUCUCCCCGCAACCCUGCUCCCAGGUCGACCAGUUAGCUGUGUCACUGCAUCUGGAAAACAACAAAGAGCAGACGCCCUGCCCCCCUGACCACUGGUCAGUCCAGUGAUCCUUGAAUAACAAGAGUAGCAAAUAUGAGGAAAAGGCAGAUUUAAGAAGUUUGCAUUUAAACAAAAAUCCCUCCGUUUCAAACAAACCUCACUGAAAUGAAGUCCUGGUGUUAGUAGAGACCCCAUCACCCCACGCGCCACCAGACCCAGCAAACCCCGGAGAAAAAGGACAGAAAUCGCUUCACACAUGUCAAUUUUAUUGACACUAGUGCACAACUGAAUACAAUAAUUGUGAAAGAAUUGGAACCUGUCAAAUAGAAAGAGUGACAACAUAUUAAAACUGCAUCGUUUUCAAAGUACUACACUAUUCUCUUUUUUAAAAAUCACAAGAAGGAAAAUGUUAUCACUACAAAUAGGAAUAGAAAAGAGAAAUCUGGCAGUUUGUCUGGAGAUCAAAACAUUCCAUGCAUUUGUGAGCUGCUGCUGGGGCCGCGUGUCGGCAGUCCAGCGGGCACCUAGCAGGACCGACCCGGGGCUUACCGUCAGCUCCCGCACUGCCACUGCGUGAGGCCGGUGAGGCGUUAGAGCGGGACAUGCCGGGCCUGGCGCUGGCAGGGGCGAGGAACAGAAAAGCAUUCGUCUCCUCAGCGAGAGCCGAGCGAGAACAGACAGUUGUUAGGAGGCUAGCUCGAAGGGGGAGCGGCUGCAGGGAGCAGGGACCACCGGGCCGGAGAGCACCCGUGACAGAGGACGCCCACUGCCACUCGCAACAAGGAAGGUACAGUGCACACACCCAGACACGGCCACUUCCACCCCCGAAGGACAGUGCGAGAGCCUUGUUGGGUCCACCCCAGAGCCUGGUAUCGAGUAGACUGAGCAGGCUGAACGCAGAAGGCGACAGGCUGGUUCCAGGAGAGGCCAGCCUGCCCAGAAGGCCUGGCACCUUUCAGAGAAGAGUCGGGUAGACUGGGAAGAAUCCUCUCUGGACUAACGGGAGACAGGAAGUGGAAGGCUGAAUGUGGACAUCCUGGUCACCUGUGAGCCUCAGCAGGUAGGGUGGCUCAGGACAGGCCUGCAGGCUGGGUGACAGACUGCUACAUGUCACUCCUGUAGCCUAAAGAUGCAUGAGACCACCUCCACUAUACGUGCCGUACGCACACUCAGGGACGGACGGAACGGGGUGGUCAGUUUCCUUUUCCCGAGAGGGGUUUGUGUCUAUUCAUAGGGCUUACGAAAGGAAAGGCAGUAGAUGUGUUUAAACCGUAAGACCAAUAAAUCAAUAAACAUCCAACAGUCUGAUCUAGAAAUCUAUCAGCAAGACUAAGGAAGGCAAAAGUCCGAAUCUCUGAAGUUCAAUUUUACAAAUGUGAGCUGGGGUCAUGGUGAAGACGCCCCCUCCUCUCCUUGCAAGAAAAAACUACUCAAGGCUUUGAAAUUUUAUAGGAGCCAUAGUAAAAAAAAAAAAAAAAAAUCGCUCAUUAAUAUUCAGUAAUCAAUGAAAUGUGCUGACAAGGUCAAUUAGUAGAAUUUGGCAGCUUGAUGAGUAAUUAAAAUUCUCUUUUGACUUUGAGCCAGAGUGUUGACAAUAGUCUGUACAAACUGGUGUCCACACAGGGUGGUUGUGAAGAGGAUGCUAAUGAAAGCCAAUGUCCAAGGUCACAGUUACUGGAACUACAUGGAAUCAGUGUUCACUGAAGUAGUCCAUUUUAUAAAAAAGUCAACAAACGUGAUCCUGUCCUUAAAUAAGAUGUGCCCGACCCAAUAUGUACAGGACUACAAAGCUUCUUCAGAUCUUGUAGUCUGUCACCUGCUUUGAAGGCACAGUCAGGCAACCUGGAGAGGAAACUGUGACCGUCAUUUGCUGCUACUAAAUUAAAUGACUAACGCCUUCGCAUUUUUAAUCACUUUUCCUUUAUAAAGAAUUAAUGCAAAGUAAUUUCUUUCUUCAGCGAACUCUAGGCAAAUAAUUGUGGGGGACUCUGUAAGGAAGCACCUGGAUUUUAAGGCAAUAGGUAGAAAGAAGUUUAAAACCAGUGGAAAAAGAUCAGGUAACCCUGAACCUCUAGAAGUUUCCAAUGUUUUAAAAAAUAUUUUUCCUACUUCCAGAAAGUGCCCUGCUUUUUUUU
This is a long non-coding RNA of Sciurus carolinensis (gray squirrel), 5911 nucleotides long. RefSeq lists it as uncharacterized. NCBI's taxonomy places the organism in Eukaryota, Metazoa, Chordata, Mammalia, Rodentia, Sciuridae. The transcript has 3 exons. The record is from RefSeq and is a predicted model, not a curated record.